RNAcentral lists this ribosomal RNA (376 nucleotides) under uncultured bacterium. Its description in RNAcentral is "bacterial SSU rRNA". It matches the Rfam family "Bacterial small subunit ribosomal RNA", at positions 125 to 507 of the family's 1533-position model. The record is from RNAcentral.
CCUGCCCAUCGGUGGGGGGUAGCCCGCGAAACGCGGGGUAAUUCCGCAUACGCUGGCCGGAGGGAAGCUCUGGUCAGGAAAGGGUCUUCGGACUCGCCGAUGGGAGGGGCCUGCGUCCGAUUAGCUUGUUGGUGGGGUAACGGCCUACCAAGGCAGUGAUCGGUAGCUGGUCUGAGAGGACGGCCAGCCACGAGGGGGACUGAGACACCGGCCCCCACUCCUACGGGAGGCAGCAGCAAGGUAGUUUUCCGCAAGUGGGACGAAAGCCUGACGGAGCAACGCCGCGUGGGGGAUGACACCUUUCGGGGCGUAAACCCCUUUUCUUGGGGACGAAGCAGUGACGGUACCCGAGGAAGAAGGCCCGGCUAACUACGUG